GUUCAGACAACACAGUCCCAGAAAGAGAUGCUCUUAUGGCCGAUGUCAUCAACACUGCUACAGAGGACACUGCAGUCAACAGGAAUUCUGUUGACCCCCUGCCUGGCAAUCUCUCCUCCCCUGAAUCAGUCUUGGAUGCAACACCCACGGGAUUUCUCAACCUGGGCUUCUGUGAAGAAGAUUCAUCCCAGAAGCCAGACAUUCCCAGUGACCAGCCCCAGGUGGCACCCACAACAUCUGGAUUCAGGCCAUUCAAGGUCUGGAAAUUGGUGAAGAAGCAAAUUUCCCAUGCACUGAGAGCACUGUUCUGCUGCUGCUGCUGCUACCUGCCCACCCCAAGUGUGGAAACUGAAACGGCCCAAUAGAAUUCCAGACCUGGUGAGGAGUGAGUGCCACAGAAGUGAGCCAGAACUGAUCUCCAGUGUGCCAGCUCCCUCCAACCCAGGGCAACAGGCUCCUGCCUACAUUCAUCCUCCAGCUAUUGGGUCUGAGCUGCCACUCUGCAUCUCUUUCAGCUUAACCCAGCUUCAGAACUGUUGUGGAACAAUGCGGGGUCGUAAGGCACAUGGACCCCAUGACCCUCUCCCUUCCUAGCCUUGGUUGUGCUUGUAGGACCACUCACACUGCAUGGAAAACAGCAGCCUCUACCAUCGGGAAGGAUUAUUAUACCAACCUCAGCUGCUCAUCAUCUUGGUCACUUUAACCCUCAACUUACUCUGUGACUGCCUUUUGGAAAGAACAGCAAGACCUGUGUAAAUCCUCUGGAAAAUGGAGAUCUGGUGUGCAGCAGGGGAAAGAUGCAGCACUAUUGGUCAGUGGAGUCCUGUCCUCCUCAGUGCUGACCUUCUCCAUUCAGGCUUCCGAUGUUGCCCCCCACCUCCUGAUCCAAGAAUCUUACAUCAUUUUUUCCAUCUCAUGGAGGGAUUUAUAACUGACAUUUGACCUUACAUUAACAUUGUUCUGCUCCAAUGUGGGAAGGACACCUUCCAGGUAGGGAGCAUCUCACUGAUUUACAAGGGAAAAUGAACUCAACAGGGAAUCCAGGGUACUAAUCUGUGUGAAUCAUGGGCCUGCAGGUAAGUUUGAGUACAGUAAGUAUCUGUGUGUGGUAGAAGACAAGUCUCUGAAGCCUGGUCUUGAUGUGCUGAAAAGGAUCCCAUGAGGUGGCAUGUGCCAGCAUCCCUGACACAGAGGUAAAGUUAUCAUUGACUUGCUCAACUGAAGAGCAAUGGGAGACUGAGAGACUGCAGAGGUGUGACAAGGGAGGAACCAUCUUCUCUGUUACAGUUGGCCUCCAGCUCCAUUCUGACCAUCUGAUUCUGUCCUGUUAGCAAACACUGAUGGGUAUGAAAGUCUUUGGCCAGAUCUUCCCAGUGGAUGAUAGCCAGCUUGUGCUGUCACUGACUUCUAGAACCCUGACCAUCUGGGUCAGGGAUUGAACUGAAGGUUCUGUCAUCCAGGAUGGACUACAAACAGCAGCAAAGUCCAAAUCUAACUUUCAGAAUAGAAGUCUAUGUCCACCACUGAACAGAUACCUGGAGGAUCCCCACCUGCAGUCCAGGAUAUAUCCCAUGACUUCAACCUGACCAAUCAGGAGAGUCCAGAUUGGCUACCUAGUCUGAUUGAUUGAGUUCUUUCUAUUUGAGCCUUGAGAUCACAGCUGAGGACUCAAGUGAUGAGCUCUCUACAUCAGGAGACACAGGGUGGCAACUUACAGGUGUGGCCUGAGACAGCAGAAGUCGGAGCUCUGCAGGAAGUCCAGAUGGCAGUGUGCCCACUUCCCCAGCAUGAAGGGUCUCUGUCCUGCACAGGAGGAGGAAAGUGACAGCAAGCUGGAGGAAAA
Long non-coding RNA from Peromyscus eremicus (cactus mouse), 1843 nucleotides. RefSeq lists it as uncharacterized. The record is from RefSeq and is a predicted model, not a curated record. NCBI's taxonomy places the organism in Eukaryota, Metazoa, Chordata, Mammalia, Rodentia, Cricetidae. The transcript has 9 exons.